UACAGAGGGUGCUAGCGUUGUUCGGAAUCACUGGGCGUAAAGAGCGUGUAGGCGGUCAGGUAGGUCGGUUGUGAAAACUGGAGGCUCAACCUUCAGAGGUCGACCGAAACCCCCUGGCUAGAGUCCGGGAGAGGGAUGUGGAAUUCCAGGUGUAGCGGUGAAAUGCGUAGAUAUCUGGAGGAACACCGGUGGCGAAGGCGGCAUCCUGGACCGGUAUUGACGCUGAUGCGCGAAAGCCAGGGGAGCAAACGGG
This 253-nucleotide ribosomal RNA is filed under the name uncultured bacterium. Its description in RNAcentral is "partial 16S ribosomal RNA". It matches the Rfam family "Bacterial small subunit ribosomal RNA", at positions 524 to 776 of the family's 1533-position model. The record is from RNAcentral.